GAUACAGUAAUUUCCACGAGCUCAAAGCCUGUAGAAUUUCCUUUAUUUAUUGAAGGUCAAGACUCAACAAGAGCAGCGUACGCCAUAUUCCUGCUAAACAAGGAUUUAGAGCAAGUCUUGAAUUUUAUCGGUGUUAAGAGCGUAGGACCUCGACAUAUAUUAGCAAAUCUAAAGGAGCUUACACUAACAGUUCUUUCCCAAGAGUACAUAGAUAUGUGAAAGUUUCUGUAAAUGGAUUGAUUACUUGUAUUCUAGAUUAGAAGGGUGCUGUUUUUUUCCGACCACCUUAAAUUCUUGGUCUAUUUUCCAAACAGUGCCAAUUAUAUUUUAUGUUAACUUACCUUAUCUUAAAUUUUUUUUGUUUACUUCACGGGCAAUGAUACUGGAAAAUGGAUAGUA
Molecule: long non-coding RNA, 399 nt
Organism: Salvia splendens (bonfire salvia)
Lineage: Eukaryota; Viridiplantae; Streptophyta; Magnoliopsida; Lamiales; Lamiaceae
Exons: 2
Source: RefSeq, a predicted model, not a curated record